AAGAAACCGCCAAGGUUAAAAUCGUCCAUAGCGAGAACAAAACCCCUGAUAAUCAGCACACAAUAACUCAAAAUCAUACCGUAAACCCAAAAUCAAAACAUUGCAUUCUCCUUCUCCAAAACGUUCCCUGCUACUCUCCAUUGCGAUUUCAACUACGAUUCCAUGAAUAUUGAGAAAAGAAGCAAAGCAAACAACGACAGACCACAAGCGAAGAAGAUGAAUCCAGAAAUAGAAUCUGAUGAUGACUUUGAAGGACCAAUAUCAACUCUGAUAAAAAUUAACAAGAAUAGAAAGAGAUUGGUGGUUGAAGAAAGUUCAGAAGAUGAUGACUUUGUUAAGCCACCCCCAAAAAAGAAAAAAAGAUGAGAAGAAAGAAGA
Helianthus annuus (common sunflower) is the source of this 378-nucleotide long non-coding RNA. RefSeq lists it as uncharacterized. The transcript is spliced from 2 exons. The record is from RefSeq and is a predicted model, not a curated record. Lineage: Eukaryota; Viridiplantae; Streptophyta; Magnoliopsida; Asterales; Asteraceae.